Molecule: ribosomal RNA, 253 nt
Filed under: uncultured bacterium
Lineage: Bacteria
Description: partial 16S ribosomal RNA
Rfam family: Bacterial small subunit ribosomal RNA
Source: RNAcentral
UACAGAGGUCUCGAGCGUUAUGCGGAAUCACUGGGCUUAAAGCGUGUGUAGGCGGUUCGUUAAGUACCUUGUGAAAUCCCACGGCUUAACCGUGGAACUGCCUUUGAUACUGGCGAUCUUGAGUCCGGGAGAGGUGAGUGGAACUGCGAGUGUAGAGGUGAAAUUCGUAGAUAUUCGCAAGAACACCAGUGGCGAAGGCGGCUCACUGGCCCGGUACUGACGCUGAGGUGCGAAAGCGUGGGGAGCAAACAGG